GGGAGCCCAGGAGGGGCCAGUGUCUGGGCACAAGCACUGGGCUGGGCUGUUUGGGGAUUAACCCACCCUGGAGGUAAACAUAGGGUUUGAUUUUUUUUUUCCUUUUCCCCCAAAGGAGAGAAAUCUAACAUGCAAACUGCCAAGGCCCCAUCACUGGUCCACAACUGAGAUGGAACCAGGUCAUGUCAGUCUGGCCAAGUGGAGAGUUUCAUACUGAAUAAGGGUCACAGUGAUGAGUCUUGUGGAGAAGGCUACAGGGCAUGAGAACUGGUGGGCCCAGAGGUCCUGGGAUCUCCCACACAGCUCACAGAGGAGGAGGCAGGAAGGCAGUCAUGGGCACGCAGCCAGGCACGGCUGAGACGGGAUCUCCCACUCUCACUGUCACUAGAUGCAGCUACAUGCCUCGUUGUCACCAACAGACCCUGAAAGGAAGUGAAAUGCACUGCGUCUCAGUCAGAGCUUCUCCCAGGGUUUUUCCCCUCCUCCCAUCAGCCGGAUGCAGAUGGCAACCAAACCCCAGAGAAGACGGGGGCAAGACAGCUGGGACCCUGCAGAUCCUAUGGAGGAGACCGCCUCCAAUGACCUGAACAUCCGCCCGGGACUCGGGGGCUGAGCAAGAAGUAGUCCUCUAUAGGGUUGAGUCAUGAUAUUUGGGGAGCUAUUUGUUUUAGAAGCCAGCACAAUUCCAAGUAACACCUAGAACACCAAGGGAAGUAACCCACUCACCUGUGUGACUCGAAACAGGGAGACGGUGGCCCCAGAAAGAGCUUCAUUGGCCUCUGAUUGAGUUGAUAGAGCCGCGUACCUGCUGGGGAAGAACCACACCCUUCACUGUCAUCACAGCCUUCGCUUCCCCAAAGUCAAAGCCCACUUCUGGAGGGUGGGCCCUGGGCAAGAUGAUGGAUGCUGGGUGGAAAACAGCCUGACGGUGUUGUGGGAAUCUGCGGCAGCUCAGAGAGACCCAGAGGACCUGGGGUCCCCGCCAUUGUGGAAAGCGUGCAUAGGAAUCCUAAGCUGUAUGGGGUGGGGGCGGGGCAAUACUACCCCAGGUGACAGCAGCAGUGGUUCAGAUGCAGACGGCCAGCAGUUCAGGGACUGUGCUCAGACUCGCUGGAACACAGAGUGUGAGAGCGACUGUUUAUAUAUUGUGCAUAGCGGAUGGGACAGAGCUGGGAAACUAGAACAGGUAGGCAGACAUGCGGAAGAACAGAGAAGACUCAACUUUAGAAGCUAAGUUUAUUGCAAAAUAAACUUUGAAGCAUGUGGCUAACCCUGCACCCAGGUCAACCCCAAAGGAGCGGGGCUAGGACACCCCAUGGGCUGAGCGUCCCUGUGUGUGUCCCCAUGCCAUCCUGGCAGGCGAGGAUGAGGUAGUAUCAUGUGGGGCAGGGGUGGGGGAAGCAGGGGAGCUUUCUGGAAUCUCUGAGAUGGACGUGAAAGGGAGUCAACGACCACCCAAGGCCUCCGGGUGGUAGUGACGAGGGGACUCCCCCAGCAGAGGUGGCAGUGAGGGACAGCAGAGGGUGUGCCUGGGCUUGGAGGUGACCUGUGUCUGCUUGGAAGGCUGGACCUACCCCAUGUGUGAUACUGCUUCCUGGCGGGAAGCUGAUUCGGAGCAGAGUUCCUUUGCCAGGCGCACAAGCUCAGUGAGGAGCCAGGGGCUUGGGCUUGGCUGGUCAUUUGCAGCCCCUCCAGGCUCACAUUCGUGAAUUCCUGUGUCUCACCUCCGCAUGCACACCUGUGGGCCCACAUCUUGAACUCUGGUCUAGUUUGCAUCCCCGCUAGGAUUAGAUGGUUCCCGCGGCCAAGCCUGGCCUUCCCCAACGUGCGCUCAUCCACGCAGGAAGCUUGGCGUCUAUCCACAUGCCCUCUGCUACCUGACCUCAUUCUGCUUGUUUUUGGCCUCUCCUUUGGCCAGCUUGG
Long non-coding RNA from Bos taurus (domestic cattle), 1923 nucleotides. The record is from Ensembl. NCBI's taxonomy places the organism in Eukaryota, Metazoa, Chordata, Mammalia, Artiodactyla, Bovidae.